AUUGAACGCUGGCGGCAGGCCUAACACAUGCGAGUCGAACGGUAACAGGAAGAAGCUUGCUUCUUUGCUGACGAGUGGCGGACGGGUGAGUAAUGUCUGGGAAACUGCCUGAUGGAGGGGGAUAACUACUGGAAACGGUAGCUAAUACCGCAUAACGUCACAAGACCAAAGAGGGGGACCUUCGGGCCUCUUGCCAUCGGGUGGGCCCAGAUGGGAUUAGCUAGUAGGUGGGGUAACGGCUCACCUAGGCGACGAUCCCUAGCUGGUCUGAGAGGAUGACCAGCCACACUGGAACUGAGACACGGUCCAGACUCCUACGGGAGGCAGCAGUGGGGAAUAUUGCACAAUGGGCGCAAGCCUGAUGCAGCCAUGCCGCGUGUAUGAAGAAGGCCUUCGGGUUGUGAAGUACUUUCAGCGGGGAGGAAGGGAGUAAAGUUAAUACCUUUGCUCAUUGACGUUACCCGCAGAAGAAGCACCGGCUAACUCCGUGCCAGCCGCCGCCGUAA
Molecule: ribosomal RNA, 506 nt
Filed under: uncultured bacterium
Lineage: Bacteria
Description: partial 16S ribosomal RNA
Rfam family: Bacterial small subunit ribosomal RNA
Source: RNAcentral